AACGCACAUUGCGCCCUCUGGUAUUCCGGAGGGCAUGCCUGUUCGAGCGUCAUUAUAACCACUCAAGCUCUCGCUUGGUAUUGGGGUUCGCGGUUUCGCGGCUCCUAAAAUCAGUGGCGGUGCCUGUCGGCUCUACGCGUAGUAAUCCUCCUCGCGUCUGGGUCCGGUAGGUCUACUUGCCAGCAACCCCCAAUUUUUACAGGUUGACCUCGGAUCAGGUAGGGAUACCCGCUGAACUUAA
This 241-nucleotide unclassified non-coding RNA is filed under the name uncultured Helotiales. Its description in RNAcentral is "sequence contains ITS2". The stretch from base 1 to 52 matches the Rfam family "5.8S ribosomal RNA", at positions 103 to 154 of the family's 154-position model. The record is from RNAcentral. Lineage: Eukaryota; Fungi; Ascomycota; Leotiomycetes; Helotiales.